Molecule: long non-coding RNA, 1559 nt
Organism: Lolium perenne
Lineage: Eukaryota; Viridiplantae; Streptophyta; Magnoliopsida; Poales; Poaceae
Source: RefSeq, a predicted model, not a curated record
UAGUCCUUUCAGUUUACCUGAACCGUUCUUUUCCCUCGUUUUUGGAUUCAGUAGUACCUCUUUUCCUCUUAUCUCGUCUUCUUCAUUUCUCCGUCCAACCAUCCUAGGUAGGGAGAGGGAGAACCAGGUGAGCUGUGGUGGGUCUCCCGCGGUGGAACUGGAACGGGACUACGGGAAGUGUCGCCGGACGGAGGAGGGCGGAUGGGUCCUGGAGGAGGCCGACGGCCGAGGUUCUCCCAUGGCGCCGGCGGAGCUGCUUUCGACAGAGGAGGCGAAGGAGCAGGCGCCGUCGCCGGGUCGGAUUUUCCAGCAAGUGAGGUUGGUUGCUGGGCAGAUCACCUUUGGUGCUUUUUGGGUGCUUGCCAACCACGUGGACCAAGAAUUGGAUUUUCUGUAUCCUUUUGCCAAUUCAGUUAUGAGGUUGAAGAGCUUCCAGAUUUAGGCGGUUGUCCAUUGCUGCUUCAGUUAUGAGGUUGAAGAGCUUCCAGAUUUUUCUUUUUUGUAGAUCUCUGUCUUAGUCACCUUGUGCUGAUUUUAUACCUCCUUAAUUUGCCAGUCAUUUCUUCAGUAUUAUCUGUGUCUACCUACACAGUUUCUCAGUUAAUUCUAUUUAGUUUGCUAGUCAUUUUCUUAAGGAGAAUAUAGUUCAUGCCUACCUGCUGGUUCUUUUAGAUUUGUCAUUUAGUCUUUAAUUGUUACUGCAUUCCCCGUAACCUCAGGAAUAACACCCACUCAUUUCUAGAUAUGUUGCUGUCUCCACUUCCUCCGCCUCACCCAAACUCAGUCCAUUGAUCUCCACGGAGAACCAGAUUUUUGCUGCCCAACACUGUCCCCACGUGAUAUAUGUUGUAGUGAGUCAGGAACAUUGCAAAUGAACGUGCACCCACCAGCAGAAGUGUGUCAUCUUUUUCGUUUGCCAAGUGCUAAAGGUAACAAGUAUUGCCCUCUUUUAUGGUUUGUGAUAGAGCAGCUUCUUUAUACGCCUAUGUGCAAGAUCAUUUUCUUCAGGAGAUUUUAGUUCAUGUAUACCUGCCCCUUUUUUUCAGUAGCUAUAGCCUAUUUCGAGUUCACUAUAGGGCUGAUACUUAUGUGCAGAGAAAGUAGAGAUUCCACAUGCUUGAUCAAGAUAGAUGCAGAGUUGGUUCAGUGGAAAUUAGGAGGGUAUGUGGGGUGACAUGCUUGGGUUUUUCCUCUAGGAGAUCUAGAAGAUUGCCCAUAUUCGUGCUCUAGUGAGAUUCUAUACGUGAGGAGGAAGCAGGGAAGAAUGGUGAUGUGGACGCAGUUACAAAACAAGCGAAGAGAAUCAGGGCCCACUUUAUUUUGCUGUUCGGCUUUAAGCCCAUAGAGUAGCCUGACAUAGCAAUAAUGGUCAAGUUCAGUCUUUUUUUGUUCAAUGCAUGGACCUGAAAGGAUCCUAAUAUUUUUUUAAACCCAGUUUUAUCAUGGCUGUAAAAAACCAGAAUGAUGGAGAAUUGUUCAUUGUUUGAACAUACUGUGAGUUUGUCAUGUCCAAAACUGAUCGGACUGGAAAACUGAAGCGGGAAUGAGGAUUGAAGGAA